Molecule: ribosomal RNA, 3522 nt
Filed under: Triticum aestivum (bread wheat)
Lineage: Eukaryota; Viridiplantae; Streptophyta; Magnoliopsida; Poales; Poaceae
Description: partial small subunit ribosomal RNA
Source: RNAcentral
AUGAUCCCUUUGAUUGUGAUUGCCGAGGUUGCUUCGAGCCUUGAGAAUUUUUCAAGCCUCAAGGAUCUUGCUUCUGCAGCUCUUGCUUCACCUAAUGUGUCCACAGAGGAGGAAGCUGUGAACACCAUCAACGAUUUUUUAUCUGAGUUGGGUUUAUCAGAAACCCCUGCUGCUGUUGAGGAGGGGGCUCCGUCAGUCAAAGGUUGUGAUUCUCCCAAGGAUGUGCCUCUUCAGCUUCUCCUAGAGAACCAACAUAAGUGGAAGAAGCAAGAAGAUUUUGACAAGAAGAAGGUGGCCCGCCUUGAGAAAGGUUCUGAUGUUCCUGGAUCUGUUCAUGCAGCUGAGCUCACUGUUGAGGAAGACGUGCCGUGUGGCAGUGAUGGCACGGUUGUCCCUCUUAAGAAGAAAAUCAAGAAGACCGCCGCGAGGAAGUUAGUAGUUGGUGAAGUUACUCCUCGGAGGAGCCCAUGUGUUUCAAGGCCUGCAGAAGUUGUUGAAGAUGAAUGGCUAGGCCUUGGUGGUACGCCACACCGUAGUCCUUGUGUGCUUGCCACUGCCGCUCCGACACCUUCUCCGCUUGGUGCUGGUGCAUCUAGCAAGGGGAAGAAAUGUGGCGUGAAGCGCAAGGUUCCACCUGCAAAGGUCAACAAGGGUGUGAAGAAGCGUUCUCGUGUUAAUCUAGAGGACAAGGAUGAUGCUGAUUUCAAUGCUGAUGAUGAGGACGACGACGAUGAUGCUGCUGCCGCUAAUCAGUGUCAGCUUGUGGAGUGGCCUGAGAGGAGGAAGAGAGGAGGCAAAGCGCCCGAAGAAGGUGGUCAGGGAGGAGGUGAGGCGAAACGUUUUAAUAAGACGGUUCGCUGCUCACUAGGAGAGGUCAAGAUGUGUGCGAAAAUGCUACCAGGUAGGCACAAGACGAGGGUUAUCAAGGCUGGUUUUGGUUGUGUGUUUGACUUGAAGGUUGAUUCCAACAUUUCUCGUCCUUUGAUGGGCAACUUCUACACGAGGAUUGACCCUUCAACCAUGAUUUUGGACAUGGGUGAGGCGAACAAGGGCAAGCUUGGGUAUGCUAGGAGUGACGACAUCAAGACAAAGGAUUUGCGGAAUAUCCUUGCUGAACUUGUGAAGGAUGAGACGAAGGAUGAUCUUGCUCUACAGGUGUUUUACCUUAUUGUUUUCAUGAAGGUGGUUAUCCCUGGAAUGUCUACACGAGUGUCCAGGGAGGCAGCAAUGGCCGAGAACCUUGUGUUUGAGGAUAUGGCAAACAUGGACUACUGCCAGUUGGUUGUUGACGAUAUUCGGAGUGCUGUUGUUAGGUAUCAGCAAGGUACUAGCAGAGGAAAAGCUAUCACAGGAUGUGCCAUCGCGCCGCUUCUUAUCUAUGUGGACUGCCUUAUCAUUGGCAAGACGCCUAAUAUUGACUUGAGGACCCCUCGCAUCAAUUUCAUGGAUCAUGCCAAGCUUCUCGAGCUUGCUGCGGCUGACUUGGUCACGAAGGGUGAUGAUGACCUAGCCAACUGGGUGUUUGGGAGACUGCCUUGGAAGACACAGGCUGUGGUUGUGUUCUUUAGGGUUAUUGAACGUCCUGUUCUAACUAUGCCUUGUUCUGCUGGCCUAGGGAGUGGAACUUCCCCAAGAUUUGAAUUCUCCCGGGAUGGUAAUACCGGUGCCCCACCUGCAGAUACAGGAGGUUCUUCUGCCCGUGUGAGUGCUGCAGGUGGCGUUUCUUCCGAGAAUUUGUUUGAAGCUGCCAAUGUUUCUCUGGCUAUUAAUGAUAAUGCUAGGGUUGAGGAGGAUGUUUUACCUAUGCAUGAACCUGCUCCUGCUAGUGGCGUAAUAGUCGAUGAGGUUCAUGCUAGUGAAAAUAAGCAGCAGAAUGAUGAUGUUAAUGUUCCUCUAGAGAAGGUUGCAGACAAGUCCGUCUCAGGCACCGGCUGCUCCGACGGGGUGGUCCUAACUGAACCUCAGUCAUCCAUUGGCGCCGAGGUUUCUGAUGCUGAGCAGGGCAAGACAACUGGAGUCAUCAUUUUGGAGAAAGAUCCUGUUGAGUCUGCUGUUGAAACUGGUGGUAGUGCUGCUGCAAGCCCGGAGAAGUCGCCUGCAGCAGAGCCAUCAGUUGAUGUUGAUGUUGUACAUGCACAACCAAAAGUUUUUCUUGUUUCAGAUUCUCUAGUUGCUCCAGCUGUUGCUAGUGUCCUUCCCGACGACGCUGCAACGUCUACUGGAGACGACGAUGAAGAUACCAAAAACGAUAGCUAUGGAGAGGAGGUUGAUCAUUCUAGUGCUUCCACUAAUAGCGACCUUGCUGUCGUCCGAAAGAAGGUUGAUGACUUUUAUUAUAGUGUAACUAGGCUUAAGAAUAAUCGUUCCAAGAGAUCAAUGAUUAUGUUCCAAACAAGGAGUGUGAAGCUUCUGUUGAAGAUGUUGCAGUAUCUUUUGCUCCUCGUGGAAUGCUUCGAUCUAAUGUGGCUGAGUGCACUCUACUGUCUACGUGCGAAGUACCAGGGAUCCGAUAAACUCAUCCUGCCGUAUUGGGUUUGUGACAAGAUUUUCAGAGGUCAAUUUGAUUCCCGUGUGAGGAAGUACUUCAUGGCAAGUGGUCCAGAUAGCAUGGAUGCACAUGAUUCGGUUGUUUUCCCCACUUUUGACCCGCCUGAGAUUCCUGCUUCCAUGGGUGGUGUUGGUCACUGGGUUUUGAUAUUUCUUGACCUGAAGAAUUUAAGAUUCUUCAUGCUUACGAAUGUUAAUUCAUAUCAUGACGGGGUUCUUGCAAAUUAUUCCCAUGAGAAUAUUGCGGAUAUCAGGAAGAUGUGGUUGUACUCAAUCGCUUCUUCUAACCUGUUUGAGACAGACUUCCAAGCUCUGUUUGGCUACUACACAUGGCAGCAGAUGGAAGGAGACAUAAUGGAUUAUCUCAUAAAUUUUUGGAAGGAUAAUCCGGAGACCUCUGAGAUAUACACUAGUGCUGACAGGGUUGUUCUUAGUCCCUACUUCAUACAGUACUGCCUGGAGUAUGGUUUCUAUGCUACAACAGUUCCAAAGUUCAAUGCAAAAAAUCUGCUGCUCUCCUCCCAAUGUUUGUUCGCAAGGAAGAAGACCUUCUUAACGCAAAGCUGAUAUCGUGGGAGCAUUGACAUCCUUGAUUCACUUUCUUAUGCUAAUAUGGAAACGUCGCGAAUGAGUUUCCACAGGGACUGCCAAAAUAUCAUCAAGAGAUUUGUUGGGUUGCUCGAGGAGGUGUACGGCAAGGCUGCGUACAAAGCGAGCAAGCAGCCUAACUGGGUGACUAUUGCAAAGAGGCCGACUUUUAUCGAUGUUCUGAAGCAGAAGAAUAAUGAUUGUGGUUUCUUUGCCGUGAAGUUCUACUCUUCAUAUGAUGGCCAUGAGAUUGUUGAAGAUUUUGGUGAUAUGGAAGCUGCUGCAGAUGACUGGAAGGCUGAGUUCAUGCACACUCUCAUGUUUAGCGAGAAGAAUGGAGUCAUUCGUUCAGAGCUCCCUAAAGAGAUCCAGUCCUUUGGCCCGUGA